The sequence is a small nuclear RNA, 165 nucleotides long. Its record names the gene U2. It matches the Rfam family "U2 spliceosomal RNA". From Rfam's summary of the family: U2 is a small nuclear RNA (snRNA) component of the spliceosome (involved in pre-mRNA splicing). Complementary binding between U2 snRNA (in an area lying towards the 5' end but 3' to hairpin I) and the branchpoint sequence (BPS) of the intron results the bulging out of an unpaired adenosine, on the BPS, which initiates a nucleophilic attack at the intronic 5' splice site, thus starting the first of two transesterification reactions that mediate splicing. The record is from Ensembl.
AUCGCUUCUCGGCCUUUUGGCUAAGAUCAAGUGUAAAUUGGUCAUUCCAAUUGGCUUGUUUAUAGGAAAAAUACUACAGUGUAUGUGAUGUACAAUAUUUAUUGAAGAACAUCGACAAUCUAAAAUAGGUUUUCUUACUUCAAACCCUCAUAUUUUGAGUCUUUG